Xiphophorus couchianus (Monterrey platyfish) is the source of this 633-nucleotide long non-coding RNA. RefSeq lists it as uncharacterized. The record is from RefSeq and is a predicted model, not a curated record. The transcript is spliced from 2 exons. Lineage: Eukaryota; Metazoa; Chordata; Actinopteri; Cyprinodontiformes; Poeciliidae.
UUGUACUCUUGGAUCCUGGGAACGCUGGGAACACUGGGAACGCUGGGAACACUGGGAACAUCAGAGGUUUUCCUGAGGAAAACAUUCGGACUGGAUCCUCUGCCGAUUCCCAAACCGGUUCCCAGCUUUACGACCCGUUAGUGUUCGCUCAACAGGAACCAGUCGGGUCAGACGGUACCGAGCUUACCGGGACCGGUAAAGUGUAAACAUGACGACGUUCCGUAGAGCUGCUGUGGGAAAACCCGGAUCAGAACAUUUGGUCUAGAUUAAACACUCAACAGGGAAGUUGUUCUGACCCGGUUCUGGUGUCACUGUUCCUGAUUAGAACCGGUUAAAACUCCAGUUCUGCGGUUCGGUCCGUUUGAACAAUAAAUAGAAAACUUCUGGAUUUCUGUUCUGACCCGUUUGUCCCACUCAGUAAGACACUCUGGUUCUGAUCCAGCAGUCGGUUCUGGUUCUGACGGGUCACCAGUAGAAGGAGCGAGACAGAAAGUUGGCGGCAGCGCCGAACCAGCUGGACCCGUCCUGGCCCGACCCGACCCGGCUGAUCGCCUUGUCUGGGUCUUGAGACGGACUCUCCUCCUCCGGAAGAUACUCCGGCAGGUCCAGGUUCUGCUCCACCGAUACAGAACC